CGAGAGCCAUAGAUUUCUGGAUUCACUCUCCUCUUCGAUUGAGAUCCCAUAUGCUUAUUGGAGAGUCUCUUAUGGAUAUGGUUUGAGAUAACUUCCUAUCUUUCAAACUAGGUAAAUGGCUCUGAAUUCUUAGUCUUGCUAGCCUUCCUUCUUUGGCACCUGCGGAAAAGCAGGAUAGCUAUAUAUGCUUUCAGCCGCUGGGAGAUCCCUUCCACUCAUUCUAUUCAGGGGCAAUUAAUCAUAAUGAGGAUUUUAUGGUAGCUCAGGUG
RNAcentral lists this unclassified non-coding RNA (269 nucleotides) under Hevea brasiliensis (rubber tree). The record is from RNAcentral. Lineage: Eukaryota; Viridiplantae; Streptophyta; Magnoliopsida; Malpighiales; Euphorbiaceae.